UUUCUCUUUUCUCCUUUUCUGCUCCUGCCUCCAAACCCUAGUGAAACUUCAUCUUCAUCUUCAAUAAUCGACAGCCAAGAAACAUCACAGAAAGCUCUCAAUCAUCUUCAGUCAUCGAAUUUUCUUCUCGUGUUUCAUUUCUUUUCUCUCUCUUUUAUCAUCGUUUUCUUGAUUUUAGGGUUUUUCAUCGUCUGUUAAUCUAGUUUUGGAUUUUGAUUUCAUAGAUAUGUACAAGUAUUUCAUCAUCUGUAGGGUUUUAGUUUUUUCGAUUUGUCAUGUAUGUUGAUUUGAAGAUGAUUUGGUAUCAUUGAAGGAAGAAGAAGAUAACUCAUCGACCCAAUUAGGUUUUUUACACCAUACAAAUCGAGAGAAAAAGGCUUCAAUAAAAAUCAUGGAUCGUCAAAAUUGGAGCUGUAGAAGCUUCAGGGGGAGGUGGUUAUGUAGGGGGUUGAGUAGAUUCUGAAGCAGAGGCUAUGAAGAUGAAUCUGACGAAUCAAAAUCAGAAAAGUGAAUGAUUAAGAUGAUGAAGAAGAUGAGAUUAGUGAGGUUUGUUCUUUGAAACCUUCAAGAGUAAUAUUUCAUUAUUCCUUUGAAGUCAUCUAGAAUUAUUAACAUUUGUUCUCUAGAUGUCCUGCUUAAGUUUGGGGCUUAUACAGCAGUGAGAGGAAUGGCGCGUAAGGAUUUUAUUCUCUUCUUUUGAUUUGGCAUCAGUUCUGUAGCUUUGACAUAUAUGUUUACGUGUGACUCCCUUAUCCACUUCGAAUUCUAUGAUUACCUUUAAAAAGAAGUGCUGCUGAAGAGGUUUUCCGUAACUAAUGUACGUGUCUACAUAUUUUAGGAUGGCUCUUUAGGAGAGGAAUGACCAGAACUUUAUUCAUUCGGUUCUCGGAUUUAUAUUGCUGUUUUGAAUGUUUAUGCUGCUUUGCGAGUAUUUCUUUCGCUGCUUCUUAAGUAUCCGGCUUCUUUCACUUUGUCAAAAAGAACUAAUUAGUCCUCCUUUCAGUUCUCCAAGAGGAUUUAUGAGGUUUUUUUUUCUUCCCGAUUGACCUUUUAGAUCAUAGUUGUACAAGAACUUCCAGGAAAGACUUGCUUGUGCAUGUUUAUUGAGACUGUUGUUUUUCAGAAGCGAUAUUUGUGCAUCAUGGCCUGUUCGAGAGGAUGAGUAACUAUUUGAGCGUGUUCUUGAUGCUCUUUUGCCCUUAGUUAUUUGAGGUACUUGUGCCAUUCCUUGAGCAUUUGGUUGUGGAAAGACAGUCAUCAGUCAAGCUCGUUCUAAGUACUCUAAUUCAGAGACUGGUUUACGUUGGUUGUGGAGAAAGAGGAAAUGAGAUGGCUGAUGUGUGUAUACUUUUGUACUUCCAAAUAUACCCAAGUUUGUAUUCAAGUUCUGUUGUAACAUUUUUAUUACUUAAUAAUUCAGGUUGUUAUGGAUUUCCCUCAUCUGACUAUGACAUUAGUUUGUGGCCAACUCUUGUAGCUAACACAUCUAACUUGCCUGUGGUUGCUCAAGAGUCCUCUAUUUUAUACAGGAGUCACAGUUGCUGAAUACUUCCGAGAUAUGGGUUCUUACAAAGUUAUUAUGAUGGAUGAUCUUACAUCUCGAUGGGUAGAGGCUUUACAUUAAACUUCAGACUCCCCUAAUGAAGCUCUUCGGAUGUAUGAUGAUGCUUGCCCCAUCCUUGAAGAACAUGAAAAGGAGAAAAUCGCAUUUGAUCUAUAUCGUGUUGUUGCCAGUGUUUAUAUACAUGUUUUGUGUCUGCAGAUGCAGUACUGCGUAGCUGCUUAUUUCUUGAAAGAGAGAGCUCCUGCAAGAGAAGUGUCCAUGGAUUGAAGAUGCGUAGCUGCUGUCUCUUUGGAUUCCAUUCGCUUCACUGAUUCUGUUUCAAAUGCAGCAGUCUGCGGCAUGAGAAGCCUGUUAUGUGAGUCAUGUUUCUGUGCAUGUUAGUCUGCGACAUGAGAAAAUUUAGAAAUAGGUUAGGAACCUAGGAAGUUUUUUAAGUUUCUGUGAGCUGCAUUUUGGAACUUGGUGAGUUUCUAUGUAUUCCCCUUAGAAAUUUGAUACUUGACAAAAAAAAAAAAUUGGUACUUCGAAAAAUUUCAGUUCUUUUUUGAUAUGAGUUGAUUGAAGAUAUUAUUAUUGAAUAUGAAUGACGAAGGAUUGAAAGGUGUAUCCAGGAUGUUUGGGAUUCCGUGUUAUUUCCGGCAGAAAAUGA
Long non-coding RNA from Papaver somniferum (opium poppy), 2213 nucleotides. RefSeq lists it as uncharacterized. The record is from RefSeq and is a predicted model, not a curated record. The transcript is spliced from 7 exons. Lineage: Eukaryota; Viridiplantae; Streptophyta; Magnoliopsida; Ranunculales; Papaveraceae.